GGUAGCGUGGCCGAGGGGUACAAGGCGCUGGAUUUAGACUCCAGUCUCUUCGGAGGCGCAGUGUUUGAAUCCCUCCGCUGCCA
Molecule: transfer RNA, 83 nt
Filed under: Anguilla anguilla (European eel)
Lineage: Eukaryota; Metazoa; Chordata; Actinopteri; Anguilliformes; Anguillidae
Rfam family: tRNA
About the family: Transfer RNA (tRNA) molecules are approximately 80 nucleotides in length. Their secondary structure includes four short double-helical elements and three loops (D, anti-codon, and T loops).
Source: Rfam by way of RNAcentral